RNAcentral lists this ribosomal RNA (732 nucleotides) under Triticum aestivum (bread wheat). RNAcentral's name for it is "partial small subunit ribosomal RNA". Lineage: Eukaryota; Viridiplantae; Streptophyta; Magnoliopsida; Poales; Poaceae. The record is from RNAcentral.
CCCACGCUAUGUGGGGUUCGCCAAGGCGACCCUUUCUCGCCGUUCCUGUUCAACAUGGUGGUUGACGCCCUUGCGGCCAUUCUUGACAAGGCCAAAUUGGCCGGUCACAUUCACGACGUGGUCCCACACCUAGUAGGAGGGGGUGGGGUCUCCCUCCUCCAAUAUGCCGACGACACCAUAAUAAUGAUUGAGGGCUCCGCGUCCGAUAUUGCCAACCUGAAGUUUCUCCUCCUAUGCUUCCAACAGAUGUCCGGUCUUACCAUCAACUUCGAUAAGAGCGAAGUGAUGGUUCUGGGAUUCCCCCCGAUGGAGGCCCAGGGCAUUGCGGACCGGCUUAACUGUCGCCUGGGUUCUUUCCCCAUGACUUAUCUGGGGAUCCCCAUUAGUGACUCGCGCCUCACCGUAGCGGACCUCUGCCCUCCCGUGACCCGAAUGCAACACCGGGUUGAGCCCUGGAAGGGCCGAUGGCUCUCGAAGGCGGCGAGGGUAAUCCUCAUCAACUCCUCGCUGACUAGCCUCCUCUGGUUCCUCAUGAGCUUCUAUUGUCUCCAUGAGACUCUUCACCAGGAGGUGGCCAAAUAUCUGUCCAGGUUCUUCUGGGCUGGCGAGGGGGACAAGCAAAAAUACCAUAUGGUGAGUUGGCCUAACAUUUGCAAACCCAAGGACCAGGGAGGUCUGGGGAUUUUGUCUUCCCGUCGCAUGAACAUUUCUCUCAUGACCCGAUGGCUAUAG